ACGCUGGCGGCGUGCUUAACACAUGCAAGUCGAACGAAGAGCGAUGGAAGCUUGCUUCUAUCAAUCUUAGUGGCGAACGGGUGAGUAACGCGUAAUCAACCUGCCCUUCAGAGGGGGACAACAGUUGGAAACGACUGCUAAUACCGCAUACGAUCCAAUCUCGGCAUCGAGGAUGGAUGAAAGGUGGCCUCUAUUUAUAAGCUAUCACUGAAGGAGGGGAUUGCGUCUGAUUAGCUAGUUGGAGGGGUAACGGCCCACCAAGGCGAUGAUCAGUAGCCGGUCUGAGAGGAUGAACGGCCACAUUGGGACUGAGACACGGCCCAGACUCCUGCGGGAGGCAGCAGUGGGGAAUCUUCCGCAAUGGACGAAAGUCUGACGGAGCAACGCCGCGUGAGUGAUGACGGCCUUCGGGUUGUAAAGCUCUGUUAAUCGGGACGAAAGGUCCUCUUGCGAAUAGUUAGAGGAAUUGACGGUACCGGAAUAGAAAGCCACGGCUAACUACGUGCCAGCAGCCGCGGUAAUACGUAGGUGGCAAGCGUUGUCCGGAAUUAUUGGGCGUAAAGCGCGCGCAGGCGGAUCAGUCAGUCUGUCUUAAAAGUUCGGGGCUUAACCCCGUGAUGGGAUGGAAACUGCUGAUCUAGAGUAUCGGAGAGGAAAGUGGAAUUCCUAGUGUAGCGGUGAAAUGCGUAGAUAUUAGGAAGAACACCAGUGGCGAAGGCGACUUUCUGGACGAAAACUGACGCUGAGGCGCGAAAGCCAGGGGAGCGAACGGGAUUAGAUACCCCGGUAGUCCUGGCCGUAAACGAUGGGUACUAGGUGUAGGAGGUAUCGACCCCUUCUGUGCCGGAGUUAACGCAAUAAGUACCCCGCCUGGGGAGUACGACCGCAAGGUUGAAACUCAAAGGAAUUGAC
Molecule: ribosomal RNA, 912 nt
Filed under: uncultured bacterium
Lineage: Bacteria
Description: bacterial SSU rRNA
Rfam family: Bacterial small subunit ribosomal RNA
Source: RNAcentral